This 744-nucleotide ribosomal RNA is filed under the name Psychrobacter sp. V17 2012243. RNAcentral describes it as "bacterial SSU rRNA". It matches the Rfam family "Bacterial small subunit ribosomal RNA", at positions 52 to 788 of the family's 1533-position model. The record is from RNAcentral. Lineage: Bacteria; Pseudomonadati; Pseudomonadota; Gammaproteobacteria; Moraxellales; Moraxellaceae.
CACAUGCAAGUCGAGCGGUAACAUUUCUAGCUUGCUAGAAGAUGACGAGCGGCGGACGGGUGAGUAAUACUUAGGAAUCUACCUAGUAGUGGGGGAUAGCUCGGGGAAACUCGAAUUAAUACCGCAUACGACCUACGGGAGAAAGGGGGCAACUUGUUGCUCUCGCUAUUAGAUGAGCCUAAGUCGGAUUAGCUAGAUGGUGGGGUAAAGGCCUACCAUGGCGACGAUCUGUAGCUGGUCUGAGAGGAUGAUCAGCCACACCGGGACUGAGACACGGCCCGGACUCCUACGGGAGGCAGCAGUGGGGAAUAUUGGACAAUGGGGGCAACCCUGAUCCAGCCAUGCCGCGUGUGUGAAGAAGGCCUUUUGGUUGUAAAGCACUUUAAGCAGUGAAGAAGACUCCAUGGUUAAUACCCAUGGACGAUGACAUUAGCUGCAGAAUAAGCACCGGCUAACUCUGUGCCAGCAGCCCGCGGUAAUACAGAGGGUGCAAGCGUUAAUCGGAAUUACUGGGCGUAAAGCGAGCGUAGGUGGCUUGAUAAGUCAGAUGUGAAAGCCCCGGGCUUAACCUGGGAACGGCAUCUGAUACUGUUAGGCUAGAGUAGGUGAGAGGAAGGUAGAAUUCCAGGUGUAGCGGUGAAAUGCGUAGAGAUCUGGAGGAAUACCGAUGGCGAAGGCAGCCUUCUGGCAUCAUACUGACACUGAGGUUCGAAAGCGUGGGUAGCAAACAGGAUUAGAUACCCU